AGUGUGCAGGACAUCUACAACGAU
RNAcentral lists this non-coding RNA (24 nucleotides) under Arabidopsis thaliana (thale cress). Lineage: Eukaryota; Viridiplantae; Streptophyta; Magnoliopsida; Brassicales; Brassicaceae. The record is from RNAcentral.